UACGUAGGGGGCUAGCGUUGUCCGGAUUUAUUGGGCGUAAAGAGCGUGUAGGCGGCCAGGUAGGUCCGUUGUGAAAACUCGAGGCUCAACCUCGAGACGUCGGCGGAAACCAUCUGGCUAGAGUCCGGAAGAGGAGAGUGGAAUUCCUGGUGUAGCGGUGAAAUGCGUAGAGAUCAUGAGGAAGACCAGUGGCGAAGGCGGGUCUCUGGACAGUUCCUGACACUGAGACACGAAGGCCAGGGGAGCAAACGGG
RNAcentral lists this ribosomal RNA (253 nucleotides) under uncultured bacterium. RNAcentral's name for it is "partial 16S ribosomal RNA". It matches the Rfam family "Bacterial small subunit ribosomal RNA", at positions 524 to 776 of the family's 1533-position model. The record is from RNAcentral.